Long non-coding RNA from Oreochromis niloticus (Nile tilapia), 2769 nucleotides. RefSeq lists it as uncharacterized. The transcript is spliced from 3 exons. Lineage: Eukaryota; Metazoa; Chordata; Actinopteri; Cichliformes; Cichlidae. The record is from RefSeq and is a predicted model, not a curated record.
GGCAUCCUCUGGGUACAACUGAAGGUCUUUGUCUGUUCAAGAACAAUGAAAUGGAAGGAAGCACAGCCGUGUGGAAACAAGGUCUGCAAGUUUUUAGCGAGUGGAUAGGAAAGCAGUCGUGUAAAAGCCUCAGGUUUAGUUCUGCGUUACCUUGGUCAGCUACCUCUGGAUAUUUCUCAAAGAUAAUUAACUAAUUAUUUGCAUAAAGAAAGAGGCGAGCAGACAAGGACAUGGAGGUAACAGGACAGAGGAGGCGAAUGAAGUGGAUUGUUUACUCUGAGUAAUUCCACUUAAUCAGAGCUUUGUUUGCUUAAAGGGACUGGCCUCUGGCAGACUGCUGGGCGGCAGCUCGGCUGUGUAGUAGUGAGGCGUCCCUCGGGCCUGGGCCUCCCCGUGUGACAUGGGCAACGGAAAGCAUUCCUGCACCCCCAGUUCCCGUUUCACUUUCUUCCCAGUUUCUUCCUCGACCACUACCUGGUGCUCCUCUGCCUUGGGCGGGGCGCAGCAGGACAGUAAUUGUGCUCUCUGUCUCACUCAGCGGAGACGGCAUGUCUCCGUAAUCAAAGGUGGGAGCUGUAGACACCAGACACAAAAGCUUACAUGUCAAAAACAAUAAAAGCACACGCAAAUAAGCACACGUCUAGCCUUAGCCAGUGCUCAUUUAAGCAACAAUAAUUGAGUUCAUACACUCUUUCUGCCUCUUUGUCCUUUCACAUAAACAUGUUCAUCCUUGAAAUGUCACGUAACACUGAGCCUCACUCUCUCACUAUAUAACGUUUUCCUCAUAGUACACUAACUAGUAGCAAUGCAGACAGUUGUUGAUACAUUGGCAUAUCUCGCCAUGUCAUUAAAAUAAAAAAUGUGUGCACACAGCUACAUCACUAUUCAUCUUCAUAUUUAGAGUUUAGACUAUGGAACUAGAAAUUCAGAGAUGAAUUUUUAAGGUCAAGGGAGUCGACCUCAUUUUGAAUUGUGGGCCACAUGCAGCCCACUUUGACCUUAAGUGGGUCGGAUCAGCAAAACUUGAUUUUGUCAAUGUACAGUCAAGAAGUUUAACUCCACAUUUACAGUGCAGAUCAAUUUUUCCACAUGAUAAAGUUUUUCUAUUGUAGCAAGUGAAAAGAAAUCUACCAGCACGACUCUUUGGGCUUAAAUUAUAAGAACUGUGUCAAAUUACAAAAUAAAUCUGUUUGCUCAUUGCCCAGAUGGCCCUGUAAUUUUAACAUGAAUGACUGGGGGAGAGGUCUUUAUCAGUGGGAAAAGCUGUAAAAAGUAUGAAAAUACAGGUGAAAGUCAGAAAUUUUCCAAAGCUUCCCUGUGGGCCAGAUUGGAGUCUUUGCCGAGCAGAGUCUGACCCCCCGAGCCUAAUGUUUGACACCCCUGGUCUAAGCUGCACAAACUGUCUUUUUGAGCAAAGACUCGUUCCUUUGUCAGCAUACAGGGAUAAACGGGCUAAUAUACCCAAACCCCAUAUUGUCAUUUUAAGUACAAUGUUUGGAUUUCCCUUCUAGUUGUCUUAGAAACAAGUCUAAUUAAAAGUACAGGGAGUGAGGCUAAAUUGAAUGGGUUUUUCAUUUAAAAGGAUUUGGCUAAAGUCAUGCUCCUCCCUGGAGAUGUGGCGGCACAUUUCUCUUUAAUAUCAGCAGUCAAUUAGCGAGGGGGAAGAGAGCAAACUAUUCAUGAGGAAUCGAUAAUUAUCAUAUUAAAAAGCAGUUCACUAAUAGCAUAGAAGAAAAGAGCACGCAUCAAUUAAGGUGAGUUAUUGAGGAAAACCAGAUGCACAUUUGUCGACAUUACGUGCUGCCAAAAAAGAAAAAAAGAGGGUUCGAUGCCUGCUGCCACACUGAGCCUGUCUGAGAGAUUAGUGCGCGUCAGCCACGACUCCGCGUGCACGCAAACGAGGAAACUUGCGUGGAAGAAUACUCCGCGGUGGGUGCUGCUUGAAGAUGCUGACAGUAGUGGCUGUUGAAGGUGUUCAGUGUUUGCUAGCUGUCAGUGCAGAUUUGAGAGACGCUCAGUGUAAGUGAAUGUCCUGCACCGUGGGCCAGAGGAGGAGGCUGAGGAUGAUCUGCAAAGACUUUUGGACUCUAUCUGUGGUCUGGCUCCACGCCAGAUUGCUGUCUGCCAUACAGCAAGUGAGCCUGUGCACUAAAUCUAUAAUUAAACAAACCGGACCUGUCUGCAAAGAGAUGGGGACAGAGAGAGUAAAUGUGCGAGCAAGACACAGUGGGAGUGGUCGUGCUGUGUGCUCCUCAGAGGUGUAAUCUCAUCCCUUAACAAGCGCAAAUGCAUCAUUAAAAGGAAACAGAAACACAAAGGUUGGAUUUCUAUCACCAGUAAUAAGCUCUGAGACUCUCAGAAGGGGUGUUCUGGUCCCGAGAAUGUUCUAAAUCUUUCUUCAUACAUAACGCACAGCAGUGUCCCCUCUGUUGUGCUUUCCUGCUACCUGCAAGUUAAUUUAUGUCUUGAGGACUGUGAGAUGACAGCGUGCCACUAGAUUGGAAAGGCAAUUGGAAAAUAGCUCUUGCACUCUGGGAGCAGCAGUUUUGCCUCAGCGAGGGAAGAAGAUACAGAGGUUAAAAGAGAGAAAACCUGAUUUCUAAUUAUAGCACACAGUGGGUGAAGUCUCACUGUUGUACCUCCAUGCUGCAUUAGCGAUAGGCAGCGAUGGCACAGAGAACAGCCUCUACACGGCCUCCUUCAUUUCUAUUUUACGAUUUUACGGCAGAUUUCGCACCGCCCCCAUGAUAGCACGGGUGCUCCGACAGC